Molecule: transfer RNA, 85 nt
Filed under: Candidatus Dojkabacteria bacterium
Lineage: Bacteria
Description: tRNA-Leu
Rfam family: tRNA
About the family: Transfer RNA (tRNA) molecules are approximately 80 nucleotides in length. Their secondary structure includes four short double-helical elements and three loops (D, anti-codon, and T loops).
Source: RNAcentral
GCCGAGGUGGCGGAACUGGCAGACGCGCAUGGCUUAGGACCAUGUGGGACUUUGUCCUAUGCAGGUUCAACUCCUGUCCUCGGCA